GCUCCUGUGGAAAGUGGCAGACGGGUGAGUAACGCGUGGGAAUUUACCCAGUGGUUCGGAAUAACGCAUGGAAACGUGUGCUAAUACCGGAUACGCCCUCCGGGGGAAAGAUUUAUCGCCAUUGGAUGAGCCCGCGUCGGAUUAGCUUGUUGGUGAGGUAAAAGCUCACCAAGGCGACGAUCCGUAGCUGGUCUGAGAGGAUGAUCAGCCACACUGGGACUGAGACACGGCCCAGACUCCUACGGGAGGCAGCAGUGGGGAAUAUUGCGCAAUGGAGGAAACUCUGACGCAGCCAUGCCGCGUGAGUGAAGAAGGCCUUAGGGUUGUAAAACUCUUUCACCGGUGGAGAUAAUGACGGUAGCCGGAGAAGAAGCCCUGGCCAACUCCGUGCCAGCAGCCGCGGUAAUACGGAGGGGGCUAGCGUUGUUCGGAUUUACUGGGCGUAAAGCGCGCGUAGGCGGGCUGGUCAGUUGGGGGUGAAAUCCCGAGGCUCAACCUCGGAACUGCC
RNAcentral lists this ribosomal RNA (508 nucleotides) under uncultured bacterium. RNAcentral's name for it is "bacterial SSU rRNA". It matches the Rfam family "Bacterial small subunit ribosomal RNA", at positions 82 to 625 of the family's 1533-position model. RNAcentral also lists the same sequence under 1 other name. The record is from RNAcentral.